This 458-nucleotide ribosomal RNA is filed under the name uncultured bacterium. Its description in RNAcentral is "partial 16S ribosomal RNA". It matches the Rfam family "Bacterial small subunit ribosomal RNA", at positions 29 to 523 of the family's 1533-position model. The record is from RNAcentral.
AACGAAUGCUGGCGGCAGGCCUUACACAUGCAAGUCGAACGUGAAAGUCCUUCGGGAUGAGUAAAGUGGCGCACGGGUGAGUAACGCGUGGGAACAUGCCCUUCAGUACGGGAUAACAGCGGGAAACUGCUGCUAAUACCGUAUAUUCCCUACGGGGGAAAGAUUUAUCGCUGAAGGAUUGGCCCGCGUUAGAUUAGCUAGUUGGUGAGGUAAUGGCUCACCAAGGCUACGAUCUAUAGCCGGUCUGAGAGGACGAUCGGCCACACUGGAACUGAGACACGGUCCAGACUCCUACGGGAGGCAGCAGUGGGGAAUAUUGGACAAUGGGCGAAAGCCUGAUCCAGCCAUGCCGCGUGAGUGAUGAAGGCCUUAGGGUUGUAAAGCUCUUUUGGCGGGGAAGAUAGUGACGGUACCCGCAGAAUAAGCCCCGGCUAACUUCGUGCCAGCCGCCGCGGUAA